RNAcentral lists this ribosomal RNA (253 nucleotides) under uncultured bacterium. Its description in RNAcentral is "partial 16S ribosomal RNA". It matches the Rfam family "Bacterial small subunit ribosomal RNA", at positions 524 to 776 of the family's 1533-position model. The record is from RNAcentral.
UACGGGGGGGGCAAGCGUUGUUCGGAAUUACUGGGCGUAAAGGGCUCGUAGGCGGCCAACUAAGUCAGACGUGAAAUCCCUCGGCUUAACCGGGGAACUGCGUCUGAUACUGGAUGGCUUGAGUUUGGGAGAGGGAUGCGGAAUUCCAGGUGUAGCGGUGAAAUGCGUAGAUAUCUGGAGGAACACCGGUGGCGAAGGCGGCAUCCUGGACCGGCAUUGACGCUGAGGCGCGAAAGCCAGGGGAGCAAACAGG